This 222-nucleotide ribosomal RNA is filed under the name Triticum aestivum (bread wheat). Its description in RNAcentral is "partial small subunit ribosomal RNA". Lineage: Eukaryota; Viridiplantae; Streptophyta; Magnoliopsida; Poales; Poaceae. The record is from RNAcentral.
UUGACUUACUACACCCCAGAGUAUGAAACUAAGGAUACUGAUAUCUUGGCAGCAUUCCGAGUAAGUCCUCAGCCUGGGGUUCCGCCCGAAGAAGCAGGGGCUGCAGUAGCUGCCGAAUCUUCUACUGGUACAUGGACAGCUUUUUGGACUGAUGGACUUACCAGUCUUGAUCGUUACAAAGGACGAUGCUAGCACAUCGAGCCUGUUGCUGGGGAAGCAUGA